Long non-coding RNA from Triticum dicoccoides, 1595 nucleotides. RefSeq lists it as uncharacterized. The record is from RefSeq and is a predicted model, not a curated record. The transcript has 3 exons. NCBI's taxonomy places the organism in Eukaryota, Viridiplantae, Streptophyta, Magnoliopsida, Poales, Poaceae.
CAACCUAAUCCAGCCUCCUACCGCCGGAGGCAGCCGUCGUGGUUGAGCGAGCGACGGCGGCAGCCGGAGCGAGGGAGCCCGCGGCGCCGUGACGGGUCGCUUCUCCGAUCCACGCGCUGCCGUCGGCCGGCCGUCCGCCCGCUCCCUGCGUCCAACCUUCGGCGUCGCGCUGCACCCCCCGCCUUCCACAUCCGGCGACCCACCGCGCCCCCCGCCCGACUCCCUCCCCAGCGACGCACCGCCGCCCGGCUCCCUCCCCGGCGACGCGCCUCCAGACUCCUUUCCCCGCUAAUGUACGCUGCAUGACCCGAGCGGCCGACUGCCGCAUACGAGGUUGCGCGCCGCUGCCGGCCCAACCUUCCCCGUCAGGAUCCCCCGCCUCCCACUGUGGCUCCUCGCCGCCACCAUGGGAUCCCAGCGGGCAGGCUCCGCCGAGCGCCCCGUGCCCGGCCGCCUCGCUUCCAUCACCGGUCGUCGCCCCUCCACCAUGCCUCCUCCCACAAACCCAAUCCAGAUCCAACGACCUCCACCAGGAUGCACGUCGGUCUCGCCGUGGUCACAUCGGCAGUCCAACUGAUGGCUCCAUGGCCGGUCGCUCAAAGUGCUACGUAUAAGGUCACCCCGUGCUCUACCCCUGGGCCUGGCUCAGCUUUCUCCCUCCCAUCCUAUCUCUCAUCUACCUACUUGUCCUGCUCUGUUUCCCUUCAUCUGCAUCCAUCUGCAGGAGGAACACUGCUUUGACAUCAGGAACGCUCCCACGGCAGCCCAUAGUGGCGGAGUUUGUCUCGUCCAUCAGUCCAACCCCAUGGCUUCAGGGUGUCCGAGCUUCGUCGCGGACAUCAGUUCAGACACCUGCGUCACUGCGUGUGUUGCUACCACGACCAUUUGCGUCACUGUGUGCUCCGUCACCGGCCUCCUGCGCACCACGACCCUUGGCGCACUCCUUCCUCUCCCUAAAGCCGCUCGUGCCCUCCCAGGCUUGAUAUCAUGCUGCAGUGAUGAGCUCAUGUACAUCGCCGAAGUUCCAUACCUGCUCAACGACACCAGCAUGAGGAUGCAGCAGCUUGGCUGAACCCCAGUUCGUGCCUCCCUCUCCCUCCCUUGCUACAUCAUCACUGCUGCAGUGCUGCUGAUUGAUUUCUUGUAGUGAACUGUGAUUCUCUACUGAUGAAGAGAAGUUUGGGAAACUGCACAAAUAUUGGUAUUUUGGAGUUGUGAAUUUGGUGCUCCGUAGGUGCCUGUUCAUAUGCAAGUGCUUACUGAUAUGCAAGUGAGAAUCAACAUUUUUGUCUUCACGUUCUUGUGUUGGUAGAAGGGCUAAAACUGAAGAGGAAAAAGGUUAGAUGUUCCAGAUCAAUACAGGCCAUGUCCAUGUGUUAUGCGCGACCUCGUUGGGUGAGAUGCAGCCGAGGAGCAAGGGAAGCAACCGGAGUAGAGGUAAGAUGCUCUGUUCUAGCAUAGUUCAGUAAAGGAAAAUGACAUUCAUCAGUUCGGAGGUGGCUGAUUGUGUUCGUCAGUUUGUAAUACUUCGGCCGCAGUGUAAUUAUGUACGUAUCUUUUUUCUGACCGGAGCACAACCCGAGCUUAUGAGCUUA